AUGUUAAACACAGGGGGCGACCAGGUUUCUCCAUCAAACCCCAAAUCUCCCAAAAUGCACAAAUUGAAGCCUCUAAUCUGCUCCAAAUCAAGUUUCAAGCAUGAAUUAGUGAUCAUCUCGUUGCGGGGAUCAAAAGUUUGACGCGUAACAAGCUAGGUGGAAGCUUGAUGAGGGAGCGGGUCAAACGAAUCAAGAAGGAAAGGAAAAAGCAUAGUUCGGACACGAGGUAAGUAUAUCUUACACUAGUCAUAUAUUUCAUAAUAUCCUUUUGUCGUAUUACGAAAAAGAUAAUUUAUGACGUAAGCCAUAGUAGGCUAAAAAGUGUUAAGAAAUGGAAUUAUAAGUAAGUGACCGCACGGUGUAAAUCGGAGCGAGUCAUAUAUAUAUUUACGAGGUGGUAAUAAAUAUCAUCUCGCUAAUAUAAUCGGUCAAUUCGGCCAAACGGGUCAAAAGGUGAAAUUAUCACCCUUUGACAAUAUCGACUAAUGGGUUGUCAAGAUGCAUGAUUUUAGGAAAUAAAUAGCACAUGGAUGCUUACAUCGCUAUCGCUUAGCAGCCACUAAGGAAAUGUAUUGAAACGGGUCAAUAUAUUGAUCCGAGCCAGGUGAAGAUGGGAUAAGCGGUUUGAAAGAUAUGAAAGUUUUCGUGCAAAUAAACGGCAAAAUAGGAAAGCUGGAAUGCAGGGGCCACCGUAACUUACGGUGCCACCGUAAGUUACGGUGGAGCUGAAGGCUUUACGGCAGCCCCCUACUGAUUUACGGUUCUUUUUGGAUGCCGGAAGACGAUCA
Molecule: long non-coding RNA, 788 nt
Filed under: Helianthus annuus (common sunflower)
Lineage: Eukaryota; Viridiplantae; Streptophyta; Magnoliopsida; Asterales; Asteraceae
Source: RNAcentral